RNAcentral lists this small nuclear RNA (188 nucleotides) under Maylandia zebra (zebra mbuna). Its description in RNAcentral is "U2 spliceosomal RNA (ENSMZEG00005028188.1)". It matches the Rfam family "U2 spliceosomal RNA". Rfam says of the family: U2 is a small nuclear RNA (snRNA) component of the spliceosome (involved in pre-mRNA splicing). The record is from Rfam by way of RNAcentral. Lineage: Eukaryota; Metazoa; Chordata; Actinopteri; Cichliformes; Cichlidae.
AUCUUUUCUUGGCUUUUUAGCUAAAAAAAAAAAAAAUCUGUUCUUAUCAGUUUAAUAUCUGAUACGUCCCCUACCCGGGGACAUAUAUUAAAUUGAUUUUUGGAGCAGGGAGAUGGAAUAGGGGCUUGCUCCGUCCACUCCACGCAUCGACCUGGUAUUGCAGUAUUUCUAGGAACGGUGCACCCCCU